AGAGAAGCGAUACCGCGAGGAGGAGCAAAUCUGAAAAAAGCGUCCCUAGUUCGGAUUGUAGGCUGAAACUCGCCUACAUGAAGCUGGAAUUGCUAGUAAUCACAGGUCAGCAUACUGUGGUGAAUACGUUCCCGGGCCUUGUACACACCGCCCGUCACACCAUGAGAGUUUGUAACACCCAAAGCCGGUGGGGUAACCUUUUGGAGCCAGCCGUCUAAGGUGGGACAGAUGAUUGGGGUGAAGUCGUAACAAGGUAGC
RNAcentral lists this ribosomal RNA (258 nucleotides) under uncultured bacterium. RNAcentral's name for it is "partial 16S ribosomal RNA". It matches the Rfam family "Bacterial small subunit ribosomal RNA", at positions 1243 to 1500 of the family's 1533-position model. The record is from RNAcentral.